GUAAGCGGGACAAGGGGGCUGCGGGGAGAGGGGUUCGGCGCACUUCAGGAAGCGUGCGCGCCGGCCGUGCGGAGUUGCGAGUCAGCUCUUUAAGUGUAUUUAUUCGCGAAGUUUUGUCGUCAUGUUUCUGGCUCGGCGGGCGGGGCGGUCUGGAGGAGGAGAAAGGCCGCGGGGGGCCGAGCCUGUUGCUCCCCGCUCCCGGUGUCGCGGCACGGCCUGCGGCAGACAGGCGGCUGCGGGCCUGGCGGGGGCAGCCGUCCUCGCGUCACCGGCGGCCACGGGAGGGAAGGUCCCUGAGCGCCUCCUUCUCUCGUUCUUCUUCGUCCCCCCCCCCUCCCCCCUUCCGGCGGGCAGUUCCCAUCCCUGGAGGAUGUCUGCUCCCGCGACAGCUUGCAGCCGCAGGCCCCGAGCAAAGCCACUGGCUUUUCCUUGAGUGGGUGCGUUCGAGGGACUCGGUAGGCGCUGAUGGGCUCCUUGGGGUACUGCGCUUCCACUGUGGAUACCGCUUUCCGCGGGUGGCAGACGCUUCCUGCAGCGCGGACCCCACUGUUGGUCCCCGAGUGCGCGUUCAGGCACGGUCCUUUCAGCAGAGUGGGUGCGAGGCCUUAGUUUUGCCUUCUAGUAGGUGGGGCUGUGAGAGGAAAAGGGUUUGCUGUAUGGGAUGCUUUCUGUCUAGGGUGGAUUUCCGUUCUGCUUCCAGUACAUUUUUGUGUUACUGGGAAGAAUAAUAGGCAAAAAAAAAUCUCUCUCAGGGCUGACCCUGUGAGCUCUGUGUACCACAUCUCAUAGGAUUGAUUUGCAGCCUGGCUGAGCAAUGCUACAUUCUUUUUUUUUUCCCUUUUCUUUCAGCUUUUAAAAACAGAGCCUCAUCCCUUUUGCUUCUUAGCACACGCAGGAAACUUAGCAUAACUUGCUGAAAAGAAAACGUUAUUCCUAGCCAUGGUACUGGAGGCGAUAGGCGGAGUCCUUUGCCCAGCAGAGCAGUAGCUGGGCCAAGCAAAAGGGCCUGGUUUCAGCUGUUGAGGCAGCCUGUUGUGUAAUGCCUUGUUGUUUCUGUAUCAGCAGGGCAUUUUCCAAGAUAACAACUUGUUGGGAGGGAAGAGUCUAAAUAAAUAAAGGGAAAAGUAGUAAAACGUGUCUGGGAAAUGUCAAUUCCCUACAAAAGUGGAAAGUAACAUAGCAUUAAAGGAACAAGAAUGCUGAACAAAAAUGCCUAAGGGCAUAUUAAUGUAGGUGUUUUAAUGGCAGAGAACAUCAUCGUAGUUUUCAACAUUGUUACCCGUUGUUGGGGUACAAGUAUUUAAUACGUCCCUGUUGCAUCAACAGAGCACAUGUGUAACAUUUACUGACUACAGCCAGUGUUUCUGCUGGCUUUUUUUGUGCUAUCAAGAAACUUUUCAUUGGGAACUGGAUACAUUCUCCCUCUCUUCAUGUAACAGUGCACUGGGAAAGCUAGAUUGAUUUCAGCACUGGGGAAAAAAAGGAGCUGCGCUACUUACAUACUAAUUGAUGUGCUUUAUUUUCAGUAUGGCACUGUGUUUGUGAAUUCUGUGGAGCAAUCAGUAGAUUAGAAACAAAAAAAUGCUUGAAAUUAUGUGGUCCAUAUUUCAUGCAAGAAAAUUUUAAAUUCUGAAGAUGAUAUACUUUACGUUUUCUAAUUGGCUUUCCACUGAAACAUCCUACUGAAGCAGUUUCAGCAAAUACGAUAUCAAGCUGAUAAUGUAGUCUGUCAUCAUUGGUAAGGACAGCUUUGUUUUGCCACAGGCAUUCUCAACAAGUCAGUGCAUAAAUAUGUCAUUUUGUUUUCAGUGCCCUCUUUUCACGCGGAAAUUGGUUUGGAGUACACUUGGUUGUUGCUUGUGGAAUAAUUGGCCUAUAUGGUUGCGGAGUAGUUCUUUAACAGGCUUUUCAAACUCAGUUCUUGUAUUGCUUGUAUCAUAUUCUCUUUAUGUGCUGUAAUGACUUCCUGCAUGAUUCUUCCUUUAUUUUCACAGUAUGCGAUAGAAGUUUUACAGCAUUUUUGGUUUGUAAGGACAGUGAUGACUCUUCAUUGGCUUAACAGUGAGGCUUUUCUUUUUUUUUAACCAUUUAUGUAUCCUGUCUUUACCUCUAUGAAGAAUCCAGUAUAUGCUAAGAGAUGCAACUACUGUAGAAACUGUGUUUAAUUAAGUUUAUCUAAAUUCAAUGAAUUUGGUAAUAAACUCUGUAUACUGGAAAAGUGAAUAGGCAAUAUAAACCAUGUCUAAGCUUCUUAGAGCGGGUUGGGAUGUGUAGUGUCACAUAUAUUUUGUGUAUGCUGAGAAGCUGCUUUUCAGUUCCUGAAGCUAAUCCUGUAUUUCUAGUGUUUAAAGAAAAUUAUUUCAGUUAAUCUCAAUUUAUUUAUUGCAAGAUUUCUUUUCUGUAAACAGAUUAUCUGUUUGGUUUUUUUAAUAGUACACCAAAAAAGUUCCCCUACUGUGUUUUUUUUGUUUGUUUGUUUGUUUUUGUUUUGUUUGCAGAACUCUUUACCAGUUACUUGUGAAUACUUUGCAUCACAUAUAUUUAUCUGCAAAUGAAAGUAGGAGGUGUCAUUUAGGCCCAGUUCUGGCUUAGAAUUGUAACUUGCGCAUCAGCUAGCGUAAAACAUUCAUGUAGAGCUCUUGACUGUAUUACAGAAUAUUAUUAAUUAAAGAGAAACAAAGAGAUUGUACGUUGGUCUGAAAGCUUUGCAGGUUUCCUUAAAACUUAUGUGUGCAGAAGAUUAAAAUAGUUGAAUGUUCAAAAUCUGGUUUUCAUAGUUGUUUAGCUUUACUGGCAUACUUUCUUCUGAGAUACAGAGCUGCUGCUAUUGCCUUUCUACCCCGUUUUCAUACAUUCAGUGUUCUGCUAAGUUUCAGGAGUCUAGCAUUGUCACUUUACAAACCAAAUAGCUUAUAGUUUCCAUACAGCCUUUCUGUCAAUUUGUGAACUGGCUUUUUGUUUCUGCUUUGAAUGUUUUGGAACAGUUUUCCUUUAACAUAGCUUUUAAAUGUGUAUUUCAUACUUCUCAUACUUUCCUGUUACUUUUCUGGCAGUCAGUGGAGAUCUGCUUUGCUCUUUGUGGGACUUAAUUUUGUUUAUAUUAAGCCUUCACUAAUAGAUUUGACAGGUAUUGAGUCAGUUCUCUUCUGUCAUACAGAAGUGUGCAGUCCCUCUGCUGAUGAAAUGGGUGGUUGAUGUUAAUUCUGCCUAUUGGUAUCUUGUUGUGGAAGCAGUAGGCUAGCCUUUUUUUGUAGUUGCCUUUAUUCUUUUCCACUGCCUGUUUCUUUUUCCCCCCCCCUUUUUUUUUCCUCCUCUGUGCUCAAGUAUGUUUAUCACUGUCACUGUGAGUAGUGAAGGCUGUGCUUGUCAGACUACAGUUGUUGAGAUUGUAUAAUACUUCUGGGAGUCCUUGAAAGUGCUGUAUGAACAGCCGAAUUGCCUUCAUGGCAAUAGAAGGAUAGGAAGCAUGAGAUCUUUCAGUUGAGCUUGAAUGGUUUCAAAUGGCUUUGUAUUGACGAGACGUGUUUUCCAGGAGUACGAGGAUCACUGUAAUUUUCUUCACAGGGAUGUUAGCCAGGGUGAGGGAGGUAGCUGGGUGAAAUAGAAAAGGUUGGUUAAAUUGCAAGCAAUACAGAAGGUUUCCUGGUAAUCAGUGUCUUCUGUUUCCCAUGUGGUUUGGUUUUUAUUCUUCUGCCAACCAGAGCUAACACAAUAUGCCUGUUUGAGUGACAGCCAGAAAGUGGGGGAAUAGAAAGGCAUGGGAUAAAAGUAAAGUAAGAAGGAACACCUUUUGCCCAGACCCGGGUGCUGAAAUUUAAUUAGAAUUUUUGAAAUACUCUUCUUAUCAUCUACGGAGUGUAGGCUUUGAUUACCAUGUUGCUACACUGAGACAGAUUUGGUUUUAAUCUCCUGCAGCUCCUAGCCAAAGCUUGGACCUGGAGAUUGCUCUUAAGAUAGGCACUUCCUUUGUAUCCUGGGGGCAUAUAAAGUAAUGCAAGAGCUACAAGGCAAAGCCUAUUACUCUGUUUUCUAUCUUUGGCAUCACAUGUUUGCUAAUCCAGUGCUGUGAGCAUGAGUUUCCGAGGUAUUAUCUGAAAUGGAUUUGUGAAAUAGUAGAUGGAGCAUGUGUAAAUGCAGAAGAGGAAGUUUCCUUGUAGGAGUUACAAGAUCAGGUGUGAAAGAGUAAUAAUUAGAAGGAACUCAUGUUUUCCUUUUUCACAAGUCUUAUGCCUGUUCUGCUUAAUAAGGUUUGCAUGACUGCAGUGAAAAGGAGGUAUUGAGCAUACACUUUGUCUACCUUGAAAAUUCUUAAACCUAUGGAUUUGAGUGCUUUAGGAGUGGGCACUAAGAAUCCAGGGCUGCAGCAUUUUUUCUGGCAGCUGUUCUAUGAGAAGACCAGCUGCAGUGACAGAGGGAUGUGUAUGUAACACAUUUUUGUGUGUUACUGUGGGAAGAGUCGAAUUUUAGAAGUGCAAGUGUAUUAAUGAUUAUAUGAUGUAGGGGAUUAUCUUUAGCUUUUGUGCAAGCUUAGCAGAAGAUUAAGUUUCUCGUUGUGUACUUAGCUAAAAUUACUUGUGUGUUUAUUUUACUUUUUUACUAUAAAACAAGAGUAAAGGGAUGAGGUGCCUAUUUUUAAAAGUCACACCUGUGUCUUUGGAAACACUGAAUUAAUUUGCUGUUCAUUUGGCAGUACUUCUUCCGUAGCCAUUAAAAAAGUCUAAGUCAGUCAAUGUUAUUAUUGUGAAGAGAUUAGUGAACUUUAGGACUGGAGCACAUAAAUAGUUAAAUCUACUUUGAGAUGAGCUAGUAAGCUCUUUGAGUCAUGACUGCUGUUUGUGUCAUAUAUAGAAGGACAGGUUUUGGCUUUGGACUCCUGCGAUACAGAUGGCCAGGAGUAUGGAAAACGAGAUGAUCAGAAACAGUCUUUCAUUCAUUCACGUAUCUAGAAUUUGUGAUGGUAUUGUAAUAAUAUUCACUAUAGCAAAUGAAAGAUAUACUUAGACAACUCUUUGUUGAAAUGUGUCUCCAUACUUCUCCUUGGACAAGGUUUGCUGGGUGCAUUAUUACUGAAAUACCUAGAAGUGUGCUGUGUUAAAGGCCAGGAGCUGUUGCUGUGGUGGGUGGGAGUGGUGUCUAUGGACACGUCCCUGUACUGCAUCUUGGGCAGAUGCAUGCUUGCUACCCUUGUACUUCAGCUAGGCUGAUGUGCCACUAAGCUGGUGCUGACAGAUCCCAACUGUUAGCAUGGAUGUGGCACAGCAGGAGAAGAGUUGGGUGGCUUUUGCCACGUCGGAGUGUGCACAGAGCAAAGGAUGUCAUCUCGAACUGUGAUUAAUACUAUGAAUGCCUUGGGUAUGCCUUGGGGCAUUGCUUCUUUUUCAGUGGAAGUGUCCUGAAGGAAAACAUUCUGACAGCAAUUCCUGUCUUGAUCCUUCUUUGAGCUGCGGUCUACAAGAGCAUUAGAUCUGGUAGUUGUGUGCUGGGAUUUACCUUCUUAAGUAA
Long non-coding RNA from Gallus gallus (chicken), 5502 nucleotides. NCBI's taxonomy places the organism in Eukaryota, Metazoa, Chordata, Aves, Galliformes, Phasianidae. The record is from Ensembl.